CCCGUCCUGCCCCUGGACACACACCGGGUUCUGCCACCGAAGCGGUGGAGCGACUGGCAGCGCCCGCUUCGGCCUGCCCCACUGGCCGGCAUCCCAGGGUUAACAAACAAUUGUGUUUAUUGACAAGUUCAUACAUCAGUACAAACGGGCACGUUAAAAACAGCGCCCCCGCCCCAUGCAGCCGAGGAUGAGGCAGGAAGCGCCGCGACCUGCACAAAGUGUUCCACAUAAGCCAGGGUGGUGAAGCUGAGGCAGGAUGUGAGGAAACCAGGCACACAGCAGCCAGCCAGAUACUCUAGCAACCAACACUCAACAGCGUGCUGUGCAGGUAGGUGUGUGUGUGUACAUGUGUGCACGUGCAUGCGUGUGAUCUCAUCUGUGGCUGAGGUCCUCAGGAGGUAGGCCAGCGCCCCGUAAACGAGGGAUGUUCCAACACAGGCUUCUGACUAAGCAUCAUUCAGGAUGCAGGGAGAAGGUGGCCUCUGGGCUCCAGCAGCCGGCUGGGGUCCAGGGUGGAGGACAGGGAAGAACAAGGGGCUGAGGAAAGGAGGCCAGAGCUUCAUGUUUGCCCAGGUGAGGGCUUACUGUCCUGCAGCAACAUCCCACAGCUGGCUCAAGUUCUGGCCAGGAGAGUAAGGGGUCACAGGGAAAUACAAUGCUGGGCCCCUCUUGGAGGGAGAAUGGGAGUGGAAUGUGCGGGCUCAGGUCCAAAUACC
This 716-nucleotide long non-coding RNA is filed under the name Homo sapiens (human). RNAcentral's name for it is "HSALNT0219279". Lineage: Eukaryota; Metazoa; Chordata; Mammalia; Primates; Hominidae. The record is from RNAcentral.